CUCCCAUAAAAGAAUCAAAUCCAAAAGUUACAAAAGCGAACCAAUUAGCUCAAAGCUAAAAAAAUCUGCUACUAAAUUAAUACAAAAUGACCCGACUCCAAAUGAUUCGAUCCAAAUCCUCUCAAUCCAUCUGAAAAGGCUCAAUUUGACAUUCAAAGCGCCGCUCCUCUUUCCCUUUCUCUGAAGACUUGAAAAUGUUGUCGGAAUCGCCGUCUGCAUUUGUUUCUCCUCUGGGUCAUCUAUGAUCUGGAGGUGUGAAAGAUGAAUGGAGAAGUAACAACUUCAAGGUGGUCGGAGAAAGUCCAUCUCCUCGUGAAUUCGAUGAUGGUAGCAGUUACGAGCCUUCAAAUCUGAAUGUAAGUCUCUCUUUGAUCUGACCCCUUAAACUUCCUUCUCUUCUAGGUCUGAAACCUGUGCUGUGUUCUUCAUUUUGAGCUGAUGAAGAUGUGUGCCUAGUGGUGACACCUCUCUUCCAGAGUUUCUAGAUGGAUUCCAAGAUUCAAGCUCAAAUGUGACUUCACGGGCCUUAUUUUUUGGUGAGGUGAAUUUUUGAUAGCUAGUAUAGGGUAGACUAGCUAAGAUUUGCACAGUUGUAAUACCUUGUAAGAGGCAUACUUUCAUGUGAAUAUAAUUGUUUUGGUAUGUCCUUUUCCUUUGCCUUGCUUCUCUGUAGUAGUGCAUGAUGAUAGCUGUGUUUAAUUUCCUCUUGUGUGGCAUCUGCCAAUGAAAUGUACAUCCUCAUUAUUGAUUAAUAGCUCUAGUUUUAA
Molecule: long non-coding RNA, 767 nt
Organism: Solanum dulcamara
Lineage: Eukaryota; Viridiplantae; Streptophyta; Magnoliopsida; Solanales; Solanaceae
Exons: 2
Source: RefSeq, a predicted model, not a curated record